RNAcentral lists this non-coding RNA (23 nucleotides) under Cricetulus griseus (Chinese hamster). The record is from RNAcentral. Lineage: Eukaryota; Metazoa; Chordata; Mammalia; Rodentia; Cricetidae.
CGAACUGUGUUAUGCUGAGGCUU